AAGAUUGAGGCCACGUUCCUUGAUCGUUUAUUACAGGGUGUUCCACGUUUAUCCGAAUUGUGAUUUGCUUUAAUUUCGUUUCUAGGGUAUCGAAUUAGGUUUUCUUUAGACGCAGGUAGCAAUCGGAUCAGGAAUCGUUUGAUCUUGUUGCGGUGACCUCCCGAUUAACCCAGGGGCGGUGGUCCCCUUUGUAUGGAAACUCGGAGCCGGAAGCGGGCGGAGGCCUCCUCAGUUGCCCCUUCAUCUUCUCCCUCUGGACCAACCACUCGUUCUCAUAAGCGCGCACGUCUUUCUUCCUCUUCUACCGCUGCAACUGCCGCCACGACUCGCUCUCCCUCUUCCCGCGCUGCCGCUACUUUAAUGGACUUCACCACCACCGAAUCUUCUUCUGGUUCUCACCGCGAUCGCCGUUCCAGCAAAGCUAAUCAGACCACAACAAGUGACAGUCCGAAUCUCGCCUCCGAUAGGGGCAAAGAGAAAGAACGUGAUCCAAGUGUUCGUGACAGAGAUAGAGAUAAGGGUAAUAGAGACAAUAACAAUUCUAACGACCCUGAGAGAAAUUUAGGGUUGAUUUUGGAUACCUCCGGAGGCGAAGACGAUGAUAAUGAUAGCGAAGGAGGUGUAGGUAUUUUGCACCAGAAUCUGACGUCAGCAAGCAGCGCGUUACAAGGCUUGUUGAGAAAGCUUGGUGCUGGGCUUGAUGAUUUACUUCCGUCAUCGGGUAUGGGUUCUGCAUCUUCAUCUCAUCAAAGCGGGAGGUUGAAGAAGAUUCUCUCCGGGUUGCGUGCUGAUGGAGAGGAAGGGAAACAAGUGGAGGCGUUGACGCAGCUGUGUGAGAUGCUUUCGAUUGGGACUGAAGAGUCCUUGAGCACGUUUUCUGUGGAUUUAUUUGUUCCCGUGCUCGUUGGGUUGCUUAAUCAUGAGAGUAAUCCUGAUAUCAUGCUUCUUGCAGCAAGGGCACUGACUCAUUUAUGUGAUGUUUUGCCUUCCUCAUGUGCUGCUGUGGUGCACUAUGGUGCAGUUUCGUGUUUUUGUGCUAGGUUGCUCACUAUAGAAUAUAUGGACUUGGCUGAACAGUCUCUCCAAGCUUUGAAGAAGAUAUCUCAGGAGCACCCAACCACCUGUUUACGAGCUGGUGCUCUCAUGGCUGUGCUUUCGUACUUGGAUUUCUUCUCCACUGGGGUUCAGCGAGUGGCACUAUCUACUGCUGCAAAUAUGUGCAAGAAACUCCCUUCAGAUGCAUCUGAUUAUGUCUUGGAAGCUGUACCUUUAUUAACAAAUCUUUUGCAGUACCAUGAUUUGAAGGUGCUGGAGCAUGCUUCUGUUUGUUUGACUCGCAUUGCUGAUGCCUUUGCAUCUUCCCCGGAUAAAUUAGAUGAGCUUUGCAAUCAGGGCCUGGUUACUCAAGCUGCAUCUCUCAUUUCUGCAAGUUCUUCUGGAGGUGGGCAGGCUUCUUUGAGCACGCCGACAUAUACGGGCUUAAUUCGACUGCUUUCAACAUGUGCAAGUGGGUCUCCUUUAGGAGCAAAAACUUUACUUCUGCUUGGGAUCAGUGGCAUACUUAAAGAUAUACUAUCAGGUUCUGGCGUUUCUAAUAACUCAUCCGUUCCACCAGCAUUAAGCAGACCAGCAGAGCAGAUUUUUGAAAUUGUCAAUUUGGCAAAUGAACUUCUUCCUCCGUUGCCACAAGGAACCAUUUCCAUCCCUGCCAGCUCUAGUAUAUUUGUCAAAGGAUCUAUUGUGAUGAAGUCUCCUGCUAGCAGCUCUAACAAGCAAGAAAAUACUGAUGAAAAUGCUCCUGAAGUUUCAGCCCGAGAGAAAUUAUUGAGAGAUCAGCCCGAACUUCUUCAGCAGUUUGGUGUGGAUCUCCUUCCUGUUCUCAUGCAGAUCUAUGGUUCCAGCGUCAAUAGCCCUGUUCGCCACAAAUGUCUCUCAGUUAUUGGAAAACUAAUGUACUUUAGCAGUGCAGAGAUGAUUCAGAAUUUAUUGAGUGUGACAAAUAUAUCAAGCUUCCUUGCUGGUGUUUUAGCAUGGAAAGAUCCACAUGUAUUGGUUCCGUCCCUCCAAAUUGCAGAGAUCCUCAUGGAAAAACUUCCUGGAACCUUCUCCAAAAUGUUCGUCAGAGAGGGCGUCGUUCAUGCCGUGGACCAGCUCAUUUUAAUUGAUAAUCAAACUGCCACUCCUGCCCAAUUAUCUCCCCCUGAGAAGGAUAAUGAUUCUGCAUCUGGAACACCAUCACGUUCCAGGCGCUACAGACAACGCAGUGGUAACUCUAAACCUGAAGGAGGUUCUGUGGAGGAGUCCAAGAAUCAGGCAUCUUUAAAUAUUGGUUCACCUCCUAGUACAGUUGAAAUUCCUACAGCCAAUUCCAACCUUCGUACUGCAGUAAGUGCAUGUGCUAAAACAUUUAAAGAUAAAUAUUUCCCCUCUGAUCCUGGAGCUGUUGAAGUUGGUGUAACGGAUGAUCUUAUACACUUAAAAGGUCUUUGCAUGAAAUUAAAUGCUGGUGUUGACAAUCAAAAGACUAAGGCAAAAAGAAAAUCCAAAGCUUUGGGGUCUCGUUUGGCUGACUUUUCUUCUAGCAAAGAAGAGUAUUUGAUUGAUGUAAUUUCCGAGAUGCUAGCUGAACUGAGCAAGGGGGAUGGGGUAUCCACAUUUGAGUUUAUUGGUAGUGGUGUUGUUGCAGCCUUGUUAAACUAUUUUUCUUGUGGGUACUUCUCCCAGGAGAGGAUUUCAGAUGCAAACCUGCCUAAGCUUCGACACCAAGCUCUUAAAAGAUUAAAAUCAUUUAUUGAUGUUGCACUUCCUUCAAGUGUUGAUCAAGGGAGUAUCGCUCCUAUGACUGUACUGAUUCAGAAGCUUCAAAAUGCUUUAUCGUCUGUAGAGCGUUUCCCUGUAGUUCUCAGCCAUUCAUCGAGAUCUUCUGGUGGGGGUGCACGCCUCUCUUCUGGAUUAAGUGCAUUAUCUCAGCCUUUUAAGUUGCGGCUCUGUCGAGCCCAAGGGGAGAAGUCUCUCCGUGAUUAUUCUUCAAAUAUUGUGUUGAUUGACCCAUUAGCAAGUCUAGCAGCUGUGGAAGAAUUUCUUUGGCCACGUAUUCAACGAAGUGACACUGCUCAAAAACCCUCUGCAUCUGUAGGAAAUUCCGACUCUGGGAACACACCUAGUGGGGCUGGUGCUUCUUCACCAUCUACCUCAACUCCUGCUUCAGCCACUCGUCGUCAUUCUUCAAGGUCCAGAUCAUCUGUUAAUAUAGGAGAUGUUGCCAAAAAGGAAUCAUCACAGGAGAAAAGCACAAGUUCAUCAAAGGGCAAAGGUAAGGCUGUUUUGAGGCCUUCUCAAGAGGAGUCUAGAGGACCUCAAACUAGAAAUGCUGCUCGUAGAAGGGCUGCUCUCGAUAGAGAUUCUCCAAUUAAACCUGAAAAUGGUGACUCCACUUCUGAGGAUGAAGAAUUGGAUAUGUCUCCUGUGGAGAUUGAUGAUGCUUUGGUGAUUGAAGAUGAUGGUAUUUCUGAUGAUGAAGAUGAUGAUCAUGAAGAUGUGCUCAGAGAUGAUUCUCUUCCUGUCUGCAUGCCAGAUAAAGUACAUGAUGUUAAAUUGAGUGAUUCAGCUGAAGAUGGCACACCUGUGCCUGCCACAAGUGAUAACCAAACUAAUGCUGCUUCUGGAUCUAGCAGCAGAGUUGCUGCUGUUAGUGGUUCAGACGCUGCUGAUUUUAGAAGUGGUUAUGGCUCAAGGGGUGCAAUGUCGUUUGCUGCAGCUGCCAUGGCUGGGUUUGGAUCUGCCAACGGUAGAGGUAUUAGGGGAGGUAGAGAUCUACAAGGACGACCUCCAUUUGGUAGUUCUCAUGAGCCUCUAAAGUUAAUUUUUACUGUUGGCAGUAAGCAGUUGAACAGGCAGUUGACCAUUUAUCAGGCCAUUCAAAGACAGCUUGUGUUGGACGAGGAUGAUUGUGAAAGAUAUGGUGGUAGUGAUUUCACAUCUAGUGAUGGAAGAGGGAUGUGGAGUGGUAUCUACACAAUAACAUAUCAGAGGGCAGAAACCCAACCUGACCGAACAUCAGUAGGGGGUUCUGGUUCUUCUACAGCGCCUAAGUCUAUUAAAUCUUGUUCUCACGAUUCCAGUUCGGAUCCCCAGACUCAGAGGAUGUCACUGUUAGAUAGCAUCUUGCAAGGGGAACUUCCUUGUGAUCUUGAAAGAUCUAAUCCUACUUAUACUAUCCUGACACUGUUGUAUGUGUUGGAGGGGUUGAAUCAGCUGGCACCUCGUUUGAGAGCUCAGAUAGCUUCUGACAAUUUUGCUGAAGGAAAAAAUUUAAAUCUGGAUGAGUUGAGUACCCCCAGUUCUAGAGUGCCUUAUGAGGAAUUUAUUAACGGUAAGCUCACACCAAAACUUGCUCGACAAAUACAGGAUGCCCUUGCUCUAUGCAGUGGAAGCCUUCCUUCCUGGUGUUAUCAGCUGACGAAGGCAUGCCCCUUUUUAUUUCCUUUUGAGACACGAAGACAGUACUUCUAUUCAACUGCCUUUGGGUUGUCUCGUGCAUUAUAUCAUCUGCAGCAGCAGCAGGGAGCUGAUGGCCAUGGAUCAACUAAUGAAAGAGUGGUAAGGGUUGGGAGAUUACAGCGGCAGAAAGUUCGUGUCUCUCGCAACCGCAUUUUGGAUUCUGCUGCAAAAGUAAUGGAGAUGUAUUCUAGCCAAAAAGCCAUGCUUGAAGUUGAAUAUUUUGGAGAAGUUGGCACUGGAUUGGGUCCAACCUUGGAGUUCUAUACACUAUUAAGUCAUGAUUUGCAAAAGGUUGGUCUUGGAAUGUGGAGGUCUAAUUCUACAUGGGAUAAGUCAACAAUGGUAAUUGAUGGAGAUGAAGAGAAAAAUGAAAAAACUGCCGGUUCUGUUACUAUUGGGGGAGAUGUAAUCCAAGCUCCUCUGGGGUUGUUCCCUCGACCUUGGCCACCAAAUGCUGAUGCUUGUGAAGGAAGCCAGUUUUCCAAAGUAAUUGAAUAUUUCCGGCUACUUGGACGUGUGAUGGCCAAAGCUCUUCAGGAUGGACGACUUCUAGACCUGCCUCUAUCAACAUCAUUUUAUAAACUUGUGCUUGGUCAAGAGCUUGAUUUGUCUGAUAUUCUGUCUAUUGACGCCGAGUUUGGGAAAUUUUUGCAAGAACUGCAUUUCCUUGUUUGUCGAAAGCAGUACAUGGAAUCAACAGGUGGUGAAAAUAGUUCCGCAAUUGCCGAUAUACGCUUCCGUGGGGCCCCAAUAGAAGAUCUCUGUUUGGAUUUUACACUUCCAGGCUUUCCAUAUUACAUACUGAAACCAGGGGAUGAAACUGUGGAUAUCAAUAACUUAGAAGACUACAUAUCCUUGGUGGUUGAUGCAACUGUCAAGGAUGGAAUUAUUCGGCAAAUGGAAGCAUUUCGGGCUGGAUUUAAUCAGGUUUUUGAUAUUGCAUCAUUGCAAAUAUUUACCCCACAAGAGUUGGACUAUUUGCUGUGUGGUCGCAGAGAGCUGUGGGAGGCUGAGACACUUGCUGAUCACAUAAAAUUCGAUCAUGGAUAUACUGCAAAGAGCCCUGCUAUUCUUAAUUUACUUGAAAUUAUGGGAGAAUUUACACCAGAGCAUCAACGGGCAUUCUGCCAAUUUGUUACCGGUGCGCCUAGACUUCCACCUGGUGGUCUGGCAGUGCUGAAUCCAAAGCUAACAAUUGUUAGAAAGCAUUCCUCUUCUGCAAUUCCUGCUUCUUCCAAUGGAAGUGGAACCUCAGGAACAGCAGAUGAUGACUUGCCCAGUGUCAUGACUUGCGCUAAUUACUUGAAGCUUCCGCCAUAUUCAACCAAGGAAGUUAUGUACAAGAAAUUGCUUUAUGCAAUCAAUGAGGGACAAGGAUCUUUUGAUUUAUCGUGAUCCCCCGGUAUUAGGAACUGAAGUGUAGUAUAUUUCUGAACAACCACAAUGUGGGUCUACUUUUCUCAGCUGCUGCCAUCUUUUUUGAUGUUUUGAAGUAGCGUAUUAAUUAUGCUGAAACAAUAAUCGCUUCUCUUCACUGCUGUGCCGUAUAAUUAGUGGCAUCGGCAAAGCUCGGUUUCUACAUCAAUGGUGGAUCAUAAACUUGCAUCCUUGGCCAUUCCUAAUUCUGGAAUGGCAAUAAGACCAGCACUGUUGUAUGGACCAGUACUGCUGUAUGGAUCAAAAUGUUGGACAAUCAAGAAGGAUCACGUAAGAAUGAUGGAGGCUGCAGAAAUGAGAAUGCUUCGAUGAGCAUGUGGUAGGACACUGUGAGACAUGACACCAAACUCUGCAAUUAGGAUGUCCUUGGGGGUGGUGCUUGUAUUCGAAAAAUUGAGGGAGGGAAGACUAUGGUAGUUUGGGCACGUCCUUAUGCGACAACCGUCGGAUGCGGUCAGGAGGAUAGAGUCGAUUACAGUCGACGGUGCUAGAAGGAGAGGAUGACCAAGGAGGAAGUGGGUAGACUGCGUGAGAUCUGAUUUUAAAGAUUUAGCCCUUAGCGAGGACAUGACCUCUGAUAGGAAAGUAUGGAGACUUAAGAUCAGGGUUGCUGAGUAGUGUAGGUCACAGCCAUAGGGUGUAGCAUCUCUGUCUUCUUUUUAUGCCUUUGUUGUAUUUUUCAUGAAUUAUACUGUUUAUACGUUUCUGUCAUUGAAAUUUAUGAAGGUUUAGAACUAGGGUAGCAGAGUAGGGUUGCCUUAGUUUGGGUUUUAACCCAUUUGACUUUAUUCCUUCUAGUAACUUGCUAUCGUUGAUU
RNA transcript from Hibiscus syriacus, 6754 nucleotides. It is a transcript of the gene named E3 ubiquitin-protein ligase UPL3-like, with no coding region annotated. The transcript is spliced from 18 exons. Lineage: Eukaryota; Viridiplantae; Streptophyta; Magnoliopsida; Malvales; Malvaceae. The record is from RefSeq and is a predicted model, not a curated record.